UAAAGUCGGAGAAGGUGGGGAUGACGUCAAAUCAUCAUGCCCCUUAUGACCUGGGCUACACACGUGCUACAAUGGGCGGUACAAAGGGUCGCGAACCCGCAGGGGGGAGCCAAUCCCAAAAAGCCGCUCUCAGUUCGGAUUGCAGGCUGCAACUCGCCUGCAUGAAGCCGGAAUCGCUAGUAAUCGCGGAUCAGCAUGCCGCGGUCGAAUACGUUCCCGGGCCUU
RNAcentral lists this ribosomal RNA (225 nucleotides) under uncultured Anoxybacillus sp. Its description in RNAcentral is "partial 16S ribosomal RNA". It matches the Rfam family "Bacterial small subunit ribosomal RNA", at positions 1159 to 1382 of the family's 1533-position model. Lineage: Bacteria; Bacillati; Bacillota; Bacilli; Caryophanales; Anoxybacillaceae. The record is from RNAcentral.